This 143-nucleotide ribosomal RNA is filed under the name Escherichia coli. RNAcentral's name for it is "partial 16S ribosomal RNA". It matches the Rfam family "Bacterial small subunit ribosomal RNA", at positions 1 to 135 of the family's 1533-position model. The record is from RNAcentral. Lineage: Bacteria; Pseudomonadati; Pseudomonadota; Gammaproteobacteria; Enterobacterales; Enterobacteriaceae. RNAcentral also lists the same sequence under 3 other names.
UUAAAUUGAAGAGUUUGAUCAUGGCUCAGAUUGAACGCUGGCGGCAGGCCUAACACAUGCAAGUCGAACGGUAACAGGAAGCAGCUUGCUGCUUCGCUGACGAGUGGCGGACGGGUGAGUAAUGUCUGGGAAACUGCCUGAUG